RNAcentral lists this ribosomal RNA (253 nucleotides) under uncultured bacterium. Its description in RNAcentral is "partial 16S ribosomal RNA". It matches the Rfam family "Bacterial small subunit ribosomal RNA", at positions 333 to 603 of the family's 1533-position model. The record is from RNAcentral.
GAAUGCCUACGGGGGGCAGCAGUGGGGAAUAUUGCACAAUGGGGGGAACCCUGAUGCAGCGACGCCGCGUGAGUGAAGAAGUAUUUCGGUAUGUAAAGCUCUAUCAGCAGGGAAGAAAAUGACGGUACCUGACUAAGAAGCCCCGGCUAACUACGUGCCAGCAGCCGCGGUAAUACGUAGGGGGCAAGCGUUAUCCGGAAUUACUGGGUGUAAAGGGUGAGCAGGCGGCAUGGUAAGCCAGAUGUGAAAGCCU